GAUGAACGCUGGCGGCGUGCCUAAUACAUGCAAGUCGAGCGAACGGACGAGAAGCUUGCUUUUCUGAUGUUAGCGGCGGACGGGUGAGUAACACGUGGAUAACCUACCUAUAAGACUGGGAUAACUUCGGGAAACCGGAGCUAAUAUCGGAUAAUAUUUUGAACCGCAUGGUUCAAAAGUGAAAGACGGUCUUGCUGUCACUUAUAGAUGGAUCCGCGCUGCAUUAGCUAGUUGGUAAGGUAACGGCUUACCAAGGCAACGAUGCAUAGCCGACCUGAGAGGGUGAUAGGCCACACUGGAACUGAGACACGGUCCAGACUCCUACGGGAGGCAGCAGUAGGGAAUCUUCCGCAAAGGGCGAAAGCCUGACGGAGCAAGGCCGCGUGAGUGAUGAAGGUCUUCGGAUCGUAAAACUCUGUUAUUAGGGAAGAACAUAUGUGUAAGUAACUGUGCACAUCUUGACGGUACCUAAUCAGAAAGCCACGGCUAACUACGUG
This 497-nucleotide ribosomal RNA is filed under the name uncultured bacterium. Its description in RNAcentral is "partial 16S ribosomal RNA". It matches the Rfam family "Bacterial small subunit ribosomal RNA", at positions 28 to 507 of the family's 1533-position model. The record is from RNAcentral.